This 460-nucleotide ribosomal RNA is filed under the name uncultured Smithella sp. RNAcentral describes it as "bacterial SSU rRNA". It matches the Rfam family "Bacterial small subunit ribosomal RNA", at positions 926 to 1382 of the family's 1533-position model. The record is from RNAcentral. Lineage: Bacteria; Pseudomonadati; Thermodesulfobacteriota; Syntrophia; Syntrophales; Smithellaceae.
CAAGGCGGUGGAGCAUUGUUGUUUAAUUCGAGGCAACGCGAAGUAACCUUACCUAGGUCUUGACAUCCCGAUGCUUAUUUCUAGAGAUAGAAAGUUACUUCGGUACAUCGGUGACAGGUGGUGCAUGGUUGUCGUCAGCUCGUGUCGUGAGAUGUUGGGUUAAGUCCCGCAACGAGCGCAACCCUUGUCUUUAAUUGCCAGCAUUCAGUUGGGCACUUUAAAGAGACUGCCGGUGUUAAGCCGGAGGAAGGUGGGGAUGACGUCAAGUCCUCAUGGCCUUUAUGCCCAGGGCUACACACGUGCUACAAUGGGUGGUACAAAGAGAUGCCAACUCGCGAGAGCGCGCCAAUCUCAGAAAGCCAUCCUCAGUUCGGAUUGGAGUCUGCAACUCGACUCCAUGAAGUUGGAAUCGCUAGUAAUCGCGGAUCAGCACGCCGCGGUGAAUACGUUCCCGGGCCUU